Molecule: ribosomal RNA, 774 nt
Filed under: uncultured Neocallimastigales
Lineage: Eukaryota; Fungi; Neocallimastigomycota; Neocallimastigomycetes; Neocallimastigales
Description: partial large subunit ribosomal RNA
Rfam family: Eukaryotic large subunit ribosomal RNA
Source: RNAcentral
UAUGUGAUCGUCUCUCGCAUAUCAAUAAGCGGAGGAAAAGAAACUAACAAGGAUUCCCCUAGUAACGGCGAGUGAAGCGGGAAGAGCUCAAAUUUGAAAUCUUAAAGGGUUUCCCUUUACGAAUUGUAGUCUAAAGAAGUGUUUUCUGUUGAGGUUUUGGUAAAAGUUCUUUGGAAUAGGACAUCAUAGAGGGUGAGAAUCCCGUAUUUGACCUUUACUUUCAACUUUGUGAUACACUUUCAAAGAGUCGGAUUGCUUGGGAAUGCAGUCCAAAAUGGGUGGUAAAUUUCAUCUAAAGCUAAAUAUUGGCGAGAGACCGAUAGCGAACAAGUACCGUGAGGGAAAGAUGAAAAGAACUUUGAAAAGAGAGUUAAACAGUACGUGAAAUUGUCAAAAGGGAAGCGUUUGACACCAGUGUUGUUUUUCUGAAAAUCAAUUAAAGAACUGUUUAUGCUAAGUUGUUUAGACUUUAUCAGCUAACUGUUUAGUUUUGAGCUUUUCUUUAAUGCACUUUUCAGUUAACAAGUCAACAUCAAUUUCUUUUGCUGUAAAAAAGCUUGAGGAAGGUGGCUUGAGAUUCGUCUUAAGUGUUUAUAGCCUCUUGCCUAUGCAGUCGGAGAGAUUGAGGUCUGCAGCGUAGAUCCUUCGGGGCUAAAUGCAUUUGUGCUAAGUUAUAGCAUUUUAUAGACAACUUGUUGACUAUGAUUUGUCUUGUAGCUUACUCGCUUAUGUUAUUUUACCUACGCUUAGGAUGUUGAGUAGCGACAUACGCAC